This 500-nucleotide ribosomal RNA is filed under the name uncultured bacterium. Its description in RNAcentral is "partial 16S ribosomal RNA". It matches the Rfam family "Bacterial small subunit ribosomal RNA", at positions 30 to 523 of the family's 1533-position model. The record is from RNAcentral.
AUUGAACGCUGGCGGCAUGCUUUACACAUGCAAGUCGAACGGUAACAGGGUGCUUGCACCGCUGACGAGUGGCGAACGGGUGAGUAAUGCGUCGGAACGCACCGAGUAAUGGGGGAUAACGCAGCGAAAGCUGUGCUAAUACCGCAUACGCUCUGAGGAGGAAAGCGGGGGACCUUCGGGCCUCGCGUUAUUCGAGCGGCCGACGUCUGAUUAGCUAGUAGGUGAGGUAAGAGCUCACCUAGGCGACGAUCAGUAGCGGGUCUGAGAGGAUGAUCCGCCACACGGGGACUGAGACACGGCCCAGACUCCAACGGGAGGCAGCAGUGGGGAAUUUUGGACAAUGGGCGCAAGCCUGAUCCAGCCAUGCCGCGUGUCUGAAGAAGGCCUUCGGGUUGUAAAGGACUUUUGUCAGGGAGGAAAUCCUUAGCGCUAAUACCGUUGAGGGAUGACAGUACCUGAAGAAUAAGCACCGGCUAACUACGUGCCAGCCGCCGCAGUAA